RNAcentral lists this non-coding RNA (24 nucleotides) under Drosophila melanogaster (fruit fly). The record is from RNAcentral. Lineage: Eukaryota; Metazoa; Arthropoda; Insecta; Diptera; Drosophilidae.
AGAGCGAGAUAGCAAUGAUAUACU